This 685-nucleotide long non-coding RNA is filed under the name Olea europaea subsp. europaea. The record is from RNAcentral. Lineage: Eukaryota; Viridiplantae; Streptophyta; Magnoliopsida; Lamiales; Oleaceae.
GUUUAAAAAUCAGAAUUCAAAAAUCAGAGGCCAAGUUUUAUUAUUCACAAUUUAGGUAUUAAUAAAUAAAACAACCAAUUGCAAACCCUAUUUCCAGUCUCUCUCCUCUCUCUAAACACACGGUGAUAGCAACCGAUUUUUCUCCGGUGUUUUGUGCAAUGCAGCGGCGCCGAUUGGCCCCCAUUUCUCUCCAGUGGUUUUUGAUGAGUGCGAUAGCUUCAGCACCUUCAAGCUGCUCGCACAUGACGCUGCAGAUGACAGUGCUGUAGUGGUUUUAGAUCUCAUAUUGCAGCUGUGGUGACAAUGUGACAACGCCUGCUGCAGUUGUAACUCAGCUGUAUUAUGGCGGAUCUGAUUUGAUUUUGAGUGUGGCGAAUCUAGUAGCGACUAUUGUGGUUGAUGGGUGGCAAUGGUGGUGAAAUAAAAGUUGGAAGCUGCUUUGGAAGUGAGGCAUCUAGAUUUGGUGGCGGCGAGGGUGGUGGAUCUGGUGGCGACAACAAGGGUAGAGAUGGUGAGGGACAACAAGGGUAGAGAUGGUGAGGCGGUGCUAUUUGUGGUGUUUGAGAUGACAGGGCUGGUCGUGAAUAGGUGUUGGUUGGAAAUGGUGGUUGUAGUAAUGACGGAGAUGGUGAAGUAGUGAUGACUUUGCAGUGAUGGCUUUUUGUGGGGUGUUGGUUUUGUAGCU